Molecule: ribosomal RNA, 466 nt
Filed under: uncultured bacterium
Lineage: Bacteria
Description: bacterial SSU rRNA
Rfam family: Bacterial small subunit ribosomal RNA
Source: RNAcentral
CAGCAGUGGGGAAUAUUGCACAAUGGGCGCAAGCCUGAUGCAGCCAUGCCGCGUGUAUGAAGAAGGCCUUCGGGUUGUAAAGUACUUUCAGCAGUGAGGAAGGUGGGUAUGUUAAUAGCAUACUCAUUUGACGUUAGCUGCAGAAGAAGCACCGGCUAACUCCGUGCCAGCAGCCGCGGUAAUACGGAGGGUGCGAGCGUUAAUCGGAAUUACUGGGCGUAAAGCGCAUGCAGGUGGUUUGUUAAGUUCAGAUGUGAAAGACCCGGGGCCGUCAACCUCGGAAUUGUCAUUUGUAAACUAGGCAAACUAAGAGUACUGUAGAGGGGGUAGGAAUUUCUAGGUGUAGCGGUGAAAUAGCGUAGAGAUCUGAAGGAAUACCGGUGGCGAAGGCGGCCCCCUCGGACAGAUACUGACACUCAGAUGCGAAAGACGUGGGGAGGGCAAACAGGAUUAGAUACCCUGGUAG